GAUGAACGCUAGCGAUAGGCUUAACACAUGCAAGUCGAGGGGCAGCAUGGUCUUAGCUUGCUAAGACUGAUGGCGACCGGCGCACGGGUGCGUAACGCGUAUGCAACUUGCCUCACAGAGGGGGAUAACCCGUCGAAAGACGGACUAAUACCGCGUACACUCCAUCUUGGGCAUCCAAGGUAGAGGAAAUGAAAUUCGCUGUGAGAUAGGCAUGCGUCCCAUUAGCUAGUUGGUGAGGUAACGGCUCACCAAGGCGACGAUGGGUAGGGGAACUGAGAGGUUGAACCCCCACACUGGUACUGAGACACGGACCAGACUACUACGGGAGGCAGCAGUGAGGAAUAUUGGUCAAUGGGCGGGAGCCUGAACCAGCCAAGUCGCGUGAAGGAUGACUGUCUUAUGGAUUGUAAACUUCUUUUAUACGGGAAUAACAAGAGUCACGUGUGACUCCCUGCAUGUACCGUAUGAAUAAGCAUCGGCUAACUCCGUG
This 490-nucleotide ribosomal RNA is filed under the name uncultured bacterium. RNAcentral's name for it is "partial 16S ribosomal RNA". It matches the Rfam family "Bacterial small subunit ribosomal RNA", at positions 28 to 507 of the family's 1533-position model. The record is from RNAcentral.